AUACGAAGGGGGCUAGCGUUGUUCGGAAUUACUGGGCGUAAAGCGCGCGUAGGCGGACUGAUCAGUUGGGGGUGAAAUCCCAGGGCUUAACCCUGGAACUGCCUCCAAUACUGUCAGUCUUGAGUUCGGGAGAGGUGAGUGGAAUUCCUAGGGUAGAGGUGAAAUUCGUAGAUAUUAGGAAGAACACCAGUGGCGAAGGCGGCUCACUGGCCCGAUACUGACGCUGAGGCGCGAAAGCGUGGGGAGCAAACAGGAUUAGAAACCCUAGUAGUCC
RNAcentral lists this ribosomal RNA (274 nucleotides) under uncultured bacterium. RNAcentral describes it as "partial 16S ribosomal RNA". It matches the Rfam family "Bacterial small subunit ribosomal RNA", at positions 523 to 796 of the family's 1533-position model. The record is from RNAcentral.